UACGAAGGGGCUAGCGUUGCUCGGAAUUACUGGGCGUAAAGGGAGCGUAGGCGGACAUUUAAGUCAGGGGUGAAAUCCCAGAGCUCAACUCUGGAACUGCCUUUGAUACUGGAUGUCUUGAGUGUGAGAGAGGUAUGUGGAACUCCGAGUGUAGAGGUGAAAUUCGUAGAUAUUCGGAAGAACACCAGUGGCGAAGGCGACAUACUGGCUCAUUACUGACGCUGAGGCUCGAAAGCGUGGGGAGCAAACAGG
This 252-nucleotide ribosomal RNA is filed under the name uncultured bacterium. RNAcentral's name for it is "partial 16S ribosomal RNA". It matches the Rfam family "Bacterial small subunit ribosomal RNA", at positions 524 to 776 of the family's 1533-position model. The record is from RNAcentral.